This 86-nucleotide transfer RNA is filed under the name Harpegnathos saltator (Jerdon's jumping ant). It matches the Rfam family "tRNA". From Rfam's summary of the family: Transfer RNA (tRNA) molecules are approximately 80 nucleotides in length. Their secondary structure includes four short double-helical elements and three loops (D, anti-codon, and T loops). Lineage: Eukaryota; Metazoa; Arthropoda; Insecta; Hymenoptera; Formicidae. The record is from Rfam by way of RNAcentral.
CGUCAGGUAGCUCAGUGGUUUACAGCAGUCGCCCAGCAUUCGAUUCACCCGAGCAAUCGACCCGGGUUCGAUUCCUGGUCUAGCGA